GCAUUGGUGGUUCAGUGGUAGAAUCCUUGCCUUCCGUGAGGUAGACCUGGGUUUAUUUCCCAGCCAAUGCA
RNAcentral lists this transfer RNA (71 nucleotides) under Loxodonta africana (African savanna elephant). It matches the Rfam family "tRNA". From Rfam's summary of the family: Transfer RNA (tRNA) molecules are approximately 80 nucleotides in length. Their secondary structure includes four short double-helical elements and three loops (D, anti-codon, and T loops). The record is from Rfam by way of RNAcentral. Lineage: Eukaryota; Metazoa; Chordata; Mammalia; Proboscidea; Elephantidae.